This 796-nucleotide long non-coding RNA is filed under the name Anser cygnoides (Swan goose). RNAcentral describes it as "lncRNA (ENSACDG00005017372.1)". Lineage: Eukaryota; Metazoa; Chordata; Aves; Anseriformes; Anatidae. The record is from RNAcentral.
GGGGAGGAUUCCCUUGUUUUGGGGAGAAUUCCCUUAUUUUGGGAAGGCUCCGCUGCCGUUUUCAGUCUGGGAAGGGAGCUUGAAAUUUUGGGGAGGAUUCCCCUCGUUUUGGGGAGGCUCCGCUGCUGUUUUCAGUCCACGAGGGGAGCCCGAAAUUUUGGGGAGGAUUCCCUGAUUUUGAGGAAGGUCUGCUGCCAUUUUCACUCCUUUUGGGGAGAAUUCCCCUCGUUUUGGGGAGGCUCUGCCGUGGCUUUCAGGAAGCGAGGGGAGCUCCCAGUUUUGGGGAGGAUUUUUUGAUUCUGGUGAGGGUCUGCUGCCAUUUUCACCCCUACUUUGGGGCAAAUUCCCUUGUUCCGGGUCAACCCUGCUGCUGUUUUCGCUCUUAUUUUGGGGCAAAUUCCCUCGUUCUGGGGCAGCCCCGCUGCCGUUUUCGCUUUUAUUUUGGGGACAAUUCAUUUUGGGGAGGCUCUGCUGUGGUUUUCAGUCUGCGAGGGGAGCUCCCAGUUUUGGGGAGGAUUCUUUGAUUCUGGCGAGGUUCUGCUGCUGUUUUCAGUCCGGGAAGAGAGCUUGGAAUUUUGGGGAGGAUUCUUUGAUUCUGGUGAGGCUCUGCUGCCGUUUUCACCCCUACUUUGGGGCAAAUUCCCUUGUUCUGGGGAGAUUUCUCUCAUUUUGGGGAGGCUCUGCUGGUUUUCAGGAGGCGAGGGGAGCUCUCAAUUUUGGGGAGGAUUCUUUGAUUCUUUUAUUCUGGUGAGGGUCUGCUGCCGUUUUCAGUCUCACUUUGGGGCAAAUUCCCUCG